GAUGAACGCUGGCGGCGUGCCUAAUACAUGCAAGUCGAGCGAACAGACGAGGAGCUUGCUCCUUUGACGUUAGCGGCGGACGGGUGAGUAACACGUGGGUAACCUACCUAUAAGACUGGGAUAACUUCGGGAAACCGGAGCUAAUACCGGAUAAUAUUUCGAACCGCAUGGUUCGAUAGUGAAAGAUGGCUUUGCUAUCACUUAUAGAUGGACCUGCGCCGUAUUAGCUAGUUGGUAAGGUAACGGCUUACCAAGGCAACGAUACGUAGCCGACCUGAGAGGGUGAUCGGCCACACUGGAACUGAGACACGGUCCAGACUCCUACGGGAGGCAGCAGUAGGGAAUCUUCCGCAAAGGGCGAAAGCCUGACGGACCAACGCCGCGUGAGUGAUGAAGGUCUUCGGAUCGUAAAACUCUGUUAUUAGGGAAGAACAAACGUGUAAGUAACUGUGCACGUCUUGACGGUACCUAAUCAGAAAGCCACGGCUAACUACGUG
Molecule: ribosomal RNA, 497 nt
Filed under: uncultured bacterium
Lineage: Bacteria
Description: partial 16S ribosomal RNA
Rfam family: Bacterial small subunit ribosomal RNA
Source: RNAcentral